AGUGGGCAACAAGAGGCUCUGCGACGCCCGCCUGGAGGAGCCGCGGAGGCUGCCCCGGAGGACGGGCGCGCCGCCGCCGACGACGCUGGACCCCGCCCGGGAGGCCCGCCUGCUCCCGGCGCCGGCCCCCGAAGGCAGCCUCUCUGCGCCCACCCAGAAGAUGGUCGUCAAAAGUGAGCAGGGCGUCCUUCGGGGCGCAAAGCCUCGCCUACGCCUGGCGGCUUUUCCUUGCUGGAGCCCGGCCUGCCCUGAAAGAGUCCCCGCCCCGCGCUUGGCAUCGGCUCCUUGGGAGUGGGGAGCCAGUGGCUUGAGAUCUCCCGGAAUCACAACUGAUCUCCAGGUGAAAGAGAGCCGUUGCCCUGGAGAAGACGGCUGCUUUGGGAGAUGGACUGCACGAUACUGUACCACACUGAGGUGGCUCCCCUUCCUAAAUCGCAUCCUCUCCAAGGCUCCAACCCCAAAUCUCCAGUGACUCUGGACUGCCUCGGUGGUUUCCUGUCCUAGAACGAACAAGGCCUUCGCUUCCGAGAGAUGGCAGGAUCGAGCUAACCUGGAAUAUCCAGAUGUCUUUAAUGGGACUGUAACCUUUUUGCCAUUGGAGCAACUCCAUGAAGGAAAAUAGAAGAUCAAGAAUUGCAUCAUUUAUCAAAUUCAACUUCUGCACACAAAACACAACAUACCUUCUUGGAUACUGUAUUUCAUGAGCCAAGUUGGAGACUCCUUCAGGGUGUCAUGAUUCUGGGCCUGUAGGCCUCAAGGAAGCUUAGGAAUCUGUCUAGAACAGUGAAUUUUCAGGCCUAAUGAGAGCAUUUGGCUUGGACUCUUGAGACCUAGCAGGUAAAGUUUUGGCCAUGCUCUUUUGGACAGCAGCGAACAGCCUAGUUAAUUAAGUGCAGCUGUCUCUUGUGCUUAGACUGGUUGGCCUUGAGAGACAGAGAGCCUCAGAUACUGCACAUCCUCUGUCUUAGUUCUGAGGCUGGCAAUCUUGAUAUCAAAGUGAGUUCUGAUUGCCCGACAUAGUUUUAAAAGGUGUAUCUUCAUUGUGGGUUUUUUUAGCGGUCCUUUUUUUCUCUCACUCGCUCUCUCUCACCUCCUGUUACAGCAUGUCUUACUGGCAUGUUGGAGAGUUUGUGCCCUGCCAGGUUUCAAAUGAGUAGUGCUGCCUGGCAUGAGCUAUGGACAAGUGUUGUGAGUAUGAGCACUCGAACUUCAUCAGAGAAAGCAAGAUAGUUUGUCAUGUGUCUAGUCAGUCAGGUUUUAGUCAGAAUAGAAUAAGUUGUUUGUUGUUUUAUAUGCCUUUGUUUGGGCCUUUGGAGUGGUUACUGCAAACUUGCAAACACUCUCUUAAGUCAAUAAACGACGACUACAUUUA
Long non-coding RNA from Eublepharis macularius, 1372 nucleotides. RefSeq lists it as uncharacterized. Lineage: Eukaryota; Metazoa; Chordata; Lepidosauria; Squamata; Eublepharidae. The record is from RefSeq and is a predicted model, not a curated record. The transcript is spliced from 3 exons.